This 1231-nucleotide ribosomal RNA is filed under the name Staphylococcus aureus. Its description in RNAcentral is "bacterial LSU rRNA". It matches the Rfam family "Bacterial large subunit ribosomal RNA", at positions 361 to 1594 of the family's 2925-position model. Lineage: Bacteria; Bacillati; Bacillota; Bacilli; Caryophanales; Staphylococcaceae. The record is from RNAcentral.
AAGGUAAUAAUCCUGUAGUCGAAAAUGUUGUCUCUCUUGAGUGGAUCCUGAGUACGACGGAGCACGUGAAAUUCCGUCGGAAUCUGGGAGGACCAUCUCCUAAGGCUAAAUACUCUCUAGUGACCGAUAGUGAACCAGUACCGUGAGGGAAAGGUGAAAAGCACCCCGGAAGGGGAGUGAAAUAGAACCUGAAACCGUGUGCUUACAAGUAGUCAGAGCCCGUUAAUGGGUGAUGGCGUGCCUUUUGUAGAAUGAACCGGCGAGUUACGAUUUGAUGCAAGGUUAAGCAGUAAAUGUGGAGCCGUAGCGAAAGCGAGUCUGAAUAGGGCGUUUAGUAUUUGGUCGUAGACCCGAAACCAGGUGAUCUACCCUUGGUCAGGUUGAAGUUCAGGUAACACUGAAUGGAGGACCGAACCGACUUACGUUGAAAAGUGAGCGGAUGAACUGAGGGUAGCGGAGAAAUUCCAAUCGAACCUGGAGAUAGCUGGUUCUCUCCGAAAUAGCUUUAGGGCUAGCCUCAAGUGAUGAUUAUUGGAGGUAGAGCACUGUUUGGACGAGGGGCCCCUCUCGGGUUACCGAAUUCAGACAAACUCCGAAUGCCAAUUAAUUUAACUUGGGAGUCAGAACAUGGGUGAUAAGGUCCGUGUUCGAAAGGGAAACAGCCCAGACCACCAGCUAAGGUCCCAAAAUAUAUGUUAAGUGGAAAAGGAUGUGGCGUUGCCCAGACAACUAGGAUGUUGGCUUAGAAGCAGCCAUCAUUUAAAGAGUGCGUAAUAGCUCACUAGUCGAGUGACACUGCGCCGAAAAUGUACCGGGGCUAAACAUAUUACCGAAGCUGUGGAUUGUCCUUUGGACAAUGGUAGGAGAGCGUUCUAAGGGCGUUGAAGCAUGAUCGUAAGGACAUGUGGAGCGCUUAGAAGUGAGAAUGCCGGUGUGAGUAGCGAAAGACGGGUGAGAAUCCCGUCCACCGAUUGACUAAGGUUUCCAGAGGAAGGCUCGUCCGCUCUGGGUUAGUCGGGUCCUAAGCUGAGGCCGACAGGCGUAGGCGAUGGAUAACAGGUUGAUAUUCCUGUACCACCUAUAAUCGUUUUAAUCGAUGGGGGGACGCAGUAGGAUAGGCGAAGCGUGCGAUUGGAUUGCACGUCUAAGCAGUAAGGCUGAGUAUUAGGCAAAUCCGGUACUCGUUAAGGCUGAGCUGUGAUGGGGAGAAGACAUUGAGUCUUCGAGUCGU